Molecule: non-coding RNA, 120 nt
Organism: Caenorhabditis elegans
Lineage: Eukaryota; Metazoa; Nematoda; Chromadorea; Rhabditida; Rhabditidae
Source: Ensembl
GGACGGACCAAGGACAAAGACGAGAAGAGAGCGGAAUGAGGCCAUAUUUCAAGAGGGUUAGUGGGGAGCCCAUUGAGCAGUCAGCCUAUGCCGUUCCAAUUUUAUACAUUUAUACGUAUA